This 460-nucleotide ribosomal RNA is filed under the name uncultured bacterium. RNAcentral describes it as "partial 16S ribosomal RNA". It matches the Rfam family "Bacterial small subunit ribosomal RNA", at positions 338 to 795 of the family's 1533-position model. The record is from RNAcentral.
CCUACGGGUGGCAGCAGUGAGGAAUAUUGGUCAAUGGACGAGAGUCUGAACCAGCCAAGUAGCGUGAAGGAUGACUGCCCUAUGGGUUGUAAACUUCUUUUAUAUGGGAAUAAAAUGUUCCACGUGUGGGAUUUUGUAUGUACCUUAUGAAUAAGGAUCGGCUAACUCCGUGCCAGCAGCCGCGGUAAUACGGAGGAUCCGAGCGUUAUCCGGGUUUAUUGGGUUUAAAGGGAGCGUAGGUGGAUUGUUAAGUCAGUUGUGAAAGUUUGCGGCUCAACCGUAAAAUUGCAGUUGAAACUGGCAGUCUUGAGUACAGUAGAGGUGGGUGGAAUGCGUGGUGUAGCGGUGAAAUGCUUAGAUAUCACGAAGAACUCCGAUUGCGAAGGCAGUUCACUGGACUGCAACUGACACUGAGGCUCGAAAGUGUGGGUAUCAAACAGGAUUAGAUACCCGGGUAGUC